RNAcentral lists this ribosomal RNA (440 nucleotides) under uncultured bacterium. RNAcentral describes it as "partial 16S ribosomal RNA". It matches the Rfam family "Bacterial small subunit ribosomal RNA", at positions 338 to 795 of the family's 1533-position model. The record is from RNAcentral.
CCUACGGGAGUCAGCAGUAGGGAAUAUUGCACAAUGGGGGCAACCCUGAUGCAGCAACGCCGCGUGAGUGAAGAAGGAUUUCGGUUUGUAAAGCUCUGUCGUCAGAGAAGAAAAUGACGGUGACUAACUAAGAAGCCCCGGCUAACUCCGUUCCCGCAGCCGCGGUCAUACGUAGGGGGCAAGCGUUACCCGGAUUUACUGGGCUAAAAGGUAGCGUAGACGGCACCACAAGUCUGGAGUGAAAUGCCUGGGCUUAACCCAGGAAAUGCAUUGGAAACUGUGAAGCUAGAGUGCAGGAGAGGUAAGUGGAAUUCCUAGUGUAGCGGUGAAAUGCGGAGAUAUAAGGAGGAACACCAGGGGCGAAGGCGGCUCACUGGACUGUAACUGACGCUGAGGCUCGAAAGCGUGGGGAGCAAACAGGAUUAGAUACCCUGGUAGUC